AAUAAAGAUGGCAAUGGACUCUGCCUGAUUUCAGCCAUGAAAUCGAACCGCCCGCCGGGCUGAUGAUUCCUACCCCGCC
This is a non-coding RNA of Komagataeibacter medellinensis NBRC 3288, 79 nucleotides long. Lineage: Bacteria; Pseudomonadati; Pseudomonadota; Alphaproteobacteria; Acetobacterales; Acetobacteraceae. The record is from Rfam.